GAGCCAGAUGUUGUAAUCUACAACACAGUCAUUGAUGGUCUUUGCAAAUACAAACAUAUGGAUGAUGCGCUCCACCUAUUCAACAAAAUGGAAAACAAAGGAAUUAGACCUAAUGUUGUUACCUACAGCUCCCUCAUUAGUUGCCUUUGUAAUUACGGAAGAUGGAGUGAUGCCUCUCGACUACUGAGUGAUAUGAUUGAGAGGAAAAUCAACCCCGAUGUAGUCACCUUCAGCGCAUUGAUCGAUGCGUUUGUGAAGGAGGGGAAGCUUUUAGAGGCUGAGAAAUUGUACAAGGAGAUGAUCAAAAGGUCUAUAGAUCCUGAUAUUUUCACCUACAAUUCUUUGAUCAAUGGGUUUUGUAUGCGUCAUCGCCUAGACGAGGCCAAGCAGAUGUUUGAGUUUAUGGUUACCAAGGGCUGUUUCCCAAAUGUAGUGACUUAUAAUACGCUCAUAAAGGGAUUUUGUAAGGCUAAGAAGGUAGAAGAUGGUAUGGAACUCUUCCGCGAGAUGUCUCAAAGAGGAUUGGUUGGCGACACAGUCACUUACAACACUCUUAUCCAAGAGUUAUUUCAAGCUGGAGAUUGUGAUAUGGCUCAAGAAACUUUUAGUCAUAUGAAUUCUUUUGGUGUCUCUCCUGAUCUUUGGACUUAUAAUAUUUUGUUAGAUGGGCUUUGUAAUAACGGGAGGCUAGAGAAAGCAUUGGUGGUAUUCGAGUGUUUGCAGAAGAGUGAAAUGGAACUUGACAUAUUCACAUAUAAUAUUAUGAUUGAAGGGAUGUGUAAGGAUGGGAAGGUGGAAGAUGGUUGGGGUCUAUUUUGUAGCCUCACCCUUAAAGGAGUGAAGCCUGAUGUUAUAACCUACAACACAAUGAUCUCAGGCUUGUGUAGGAAAGGUUUAAACCAGGAAGCUUAUGCCUUGCUCAAAAAAAUGAAACAAGAUGGGCCUCCUCCAGAUAGCGGUACAUAUAAUACACUGAUCAGGGCAUGCCUUAGAGAUGGUGACAAAGCGGCAUCGGCAGAACUCAUCAAAGAAAUGAGGAGUUGCGGGUUUGCUGGAGAUGCUUCAGCGAUUGGCUUGGUCGCUAAUAUGUUGCAUGAUGGGAGAUUGGACAAAAGUUUUUUGGAAAUGCUUUCUUAAACAGUUUAUCCUUGAGAGAUUUGUUGAGGAACCAUGUGCCCUCGCGAGUUGAAUUAACUUAUUAUGUUGCUUUUCUGUUGAUUACUUCUGAACGCAUUUUCUCAUGUGUACAUAUUGGUUAGUCGUGUAUAAGCUUCAUGAAUAUGACUGAUACUGAUCUUUGUUAUGUAAGAGAGGUGAUAUUGAUUUGGCUUUGAGUUUGUUGAAGAAGAUGGAGAAAGGGAGAAUAGAGCCAAAUGUUGUAAUCUACAACACAGUUAUCGAUGGUCUCUGCAAAUACAAACAUGUGAAUGAUGCAUGCAACCUAUUCAAUGAAAUGGAGAACAAAGGAAUUAGACCAAAUGUUGUUACUUACAGCUCCCUCAUUAAUUGCCUUUGUAAUUACGGAAGAUGGAGUGAUGCCUCUCGACUGCUGAGCGAUAUGAUCGAGAGGAGAAUCAACCCCGACGUAGUUACUUUCAGCGCAUUGAUCGAUGCGUUUGUGAAGGAGGGGAAACUUAUAGAGGCUGAGAAAUUGUACAAGGAGAUGAUCAAAAGGUCUAUAGAUCCUGAUAUUUUCACUUACAAUUCAUUGAUCAACGGGUUUUGUAUGCACGAUCGUCUAGAUGAGGCCAAACAGAUGUUUGAGUUCAUGGCUAGCAAGGAUUGUUACCCAAAUGUAGUGACAUAUACUACUCUCAUAAAGGGAUUUUGCAAGUCUACGAAGAUUGAAGAUGGUAUGGAACUCUUCCGGGAGAUGUCUCAAAAAGGAUUGGUUGGCGAUACAGUCACUUACAACACUCUUAUCCAGGGGUUAUUUCAAGCUGGAGAUUGUGAUAUGGCCCAAAAACUAUUCACUAAUAUGUUGCAUGAUGGGAGAUUGGACAAAAGCUUUUUGGAAAUGCUUUCUUAAGACAUCCUUGAGGUCGAUCAGCUUUUCAUGUUGCUUUUCUAUUGGUUACUUCUAAAUACAGUCAUUAUGUUCUCAUGUUACAUGUGGAUAUAGCAGUGGCUGUUGUGUCUAAGCUUCAUGAAACAUAUCUUGUUUUGUUGCAAUUCAUUUUUUUCACCUUUCUCAAUUUCGGUCAUUGUAUAUAGAAGAAUAUAUCAUGUAAAUGAGAUUAUUAGUGUAAAACAAACCGAGAUCCCUAAGCGAAAACAGACUUAUUGCUAGGAAGGAAUCGAGGUUAAAUUUUAAAAUCGGAGAUGAAGAAAUUUUCUGAUUUCUUUUCUAAUAAUACACUUUUAAGCUUAACCGGAUCUAACAUUUUGUUAAACCAACCUAAACCAUACUUUAUUCCGGUUCCAAUUUUAAUUUAAUUUGGGUUGGAUAACAGUUUUGGUUUACUAAAUCAGCCGGACACGUAAGCUCUUCACGAACCACAUCUGUUCCGUUAUUAAACAAAAAUCCCCAAGUCCCCUCCUACGCUUCUUCUCCUGUCUCCAUCUUCCAUAUUUGCAGAGCUCGAGAUUCUUUCACAGUCUCAGUGGUUCGUUUAGGGUUUUGUUGAAUUUUACAGAGAAAUUGGGAAGCCAAAUCGAGAGAAUGCUUGCAAAGAUAUCAUCUAGAGGGAAGAGAUUUGUUUAUCGGAGUCUUGUGGUGAGAGGUAAUGCUGCAACUUUUCCUCCCUCUUUUUCUCUUUGCCAGAGAAGAGCUUUUGAUGGUAAGAGUAGUUAUGAUUACAGAGAGAUACUCAGAAAUGGGCUGGGUGAUAUUAGGUUAGACGAUGCUGUUGAUUUGUUCAGUGAAAUGGUAAAGUCUCGUCCUUUACCUUCCAUUGUUGAUUUCAGUAAAUUGUUGAGUGCAAUUGCUAAGAUGAAGAAGUUUGAUGUUGUCAUCUCUCUUGGCGAGCGGAUGCAAAAUCUGGGGAUUUCAUAUGAUCUCUACUCAUACAAUAUUUUGAUCAACUGUUUCUGUCGACGCUCUCAAAUCUCUCUUGCUUUAGCUGUUCUUGGGAAGAUGAUGAAACUCGGCUAUGAGCCCAGCAUUGUUACGCUUUCUUCGCUGCUCAAUGGGUACUGCCACGGUAAGAGGAUUUCCGAGGCUGUAGCUUUGGUUGAUCAAAUGGUCGAAAUGGGAUAUCAACCUAAUACCGUUACAUUUACAACUUUGAUUCAUGGGCUUUUUCUCCACAACAAAGCUUCCGAAGCUGUGGCUUUAGUUGAACGGAUGGCUCUGAAAGGAUGUCAACCAGAUUUGGUUACUUAUGGUGUGGUAGUAAACGGAAUAUGCAAGAGAGGUGAUACUGAUUUGGCUUUAAAUCUGCUCAACAAGAUGGAAUUAUGGAAAGUAGAGCCAGAUGUUGUAAUCUACAACACAGUCAUUGAUGGUCUUUGCAAAUACAAACAUAUGGAUGAUGCGCUCCACCUAUUCAACAAAAUGGAAAACAAAGGAAUUAGACCUAAUGUUGUUACCUACAGCUCCCUCAUUAGUUGCCUUUGUAAUUACGGAAGAUGGAGUGAUGCCUCUCGACUACUGAGUGAUAUGAUUGAGAGGAAAAUCAACCCCGAUGUAGUCAC
Molecule: long non-coding RNA, 3636 nt
Filed under: Arabidopsis lyrata
Lineage: Eukaryota; Viridiplantae; Streptophyta; Magnoliopsida; Brassicales; Brassicaceae
Description: long non-coding RNA (ALYR_LNC002629)
Source: RNAcentral